GAAGCGCCAAGCACCAUCGUGAGGAUCUUGAUUGGAUUAAGCAUGUGUUGUCGAUUAAAAAUUCUACCAAAGAUUCAAUUAUGUGGAAAAUACUGCAGGACGCUCUACCGUUAGGAGCAGCGUUAGUUGACCGUAUCUUGUUCGAUUCGACUCAAGACACUAUCUUGGUUCUCCUUUUCUAACAUCUCUAGGGUGGGAGGCAAACAAUAUAACACAUUCUUAUCAAUCAAACAGGUAUAACAAUUAUUUUACGGAUUAAAAUAAAUAUUCAUUAUUUGAAUGAAUAACCGAACUGAUCCAAAAUGAAUAAGAUAUUUCAAAAGAAAACAUAAAAUUGUUACUAUAUAUUAUAUAAUUACAUUAUCAUCUAUACAAAAUAUGGAAUGAAAAUCUAAAAAAUCACCAAAGAUUUGGUUAGCGUUAUUCCAAAACCGAUAAUCUCUUAUCAAAAUCUACUCCUAGAUAAAAAAAAUUAGGGAGACUUCAUCAUAGACCUAUAGUAUAGUAUUGUGUACCCAUAGUAAGAAAGAUUAUGCUUUGUGUUUUUUUGGGCACAAAUGAUAGGAUCCCAAAACACAAAAUUGGUUGUUUACAAACGGGAACACCUACAUAGGCUAUUGGCCAGGGGAGCUUCUGCCAUAUUUAGAAGACGGAGCUGAGCAGGUUCGGUAUGGUGGAUUCACCAAUGCACAGACCGAAAACUUGCAGCCCUUCGAUAUAGUUAGUCCACCAAUGGGAAAUGCGAAUAAAACACUAGAUGAUGAGAUGGAUCUAAAGCAUACUUGUUACAUGCAUUUGUAAAAUAUGUGGCAAUAUUGGAUUAUAAAAGUGUCGACAAUAAUUCUAACAUAGUCAUCGAGGAUGCAGAUUUUACUGAAUGCUACGAUGUAAAUUACCUUGAUAACUUUGGGUCUCAUCGGCAUACUUUCACCUUUGGUGGUCCGGGUUGUAUAUGUGAUGUGUGGUCUUUUUU
Molecule: long non-coding RNA, 973 nt
Organism: Brassica rapa (field mustard)
Lineage: Eukaryota; Viridiplantae; Streptophyta; Magnoliopsida; Brassicales; Brassicaceae
Source: RefSeq, a predicted model, not a curated record